This 157-nucleotide microRNA precursor is filed under the name Pelobates cultripes (western spadefoot toad). Lineage: Eukaryota; Metazoa; Chordata; Amphibia; Anura; Pelobatidae. The record is from RNAcentral.
GCAAACACAUUCCAGCCAAUCAGCAGCAGACCCUCCCUCCCAUACCCUCCCACCUCCUGGACAGCAUCCAUUGUGAAGCUGCAUUCUUAGUGAGCUGUCCAGGAGGUGGGAGGGUCUGGGAGGGAGGGUCUGCUGCUGAUUGGCUGGAAUGUGUCUG